Molecule: ribosomal RNA, 277 nt
Filed under: uncultured fungus
Lineage: Eukaryota; Fungi
Description: partial 28S ribosomal RNA
Rfam family: Eukaryotic large subunit ribosomal RNA
Source: RNAcentral
UUGAUCUCAAAUCAGGUAGGACUACCCGCUGAACUUAAGCAUAUCAAUAAGCGGAGGAAAAGAAACUAACAAGGAUUCCCCUAGUAACUGCGAGUGAAGCGGGAAAAGCUCANAUUUAAAAUCUGGCGGUCUCUGACUGUCCGAGUUGUAAUCUAGAGAAGUGUUUUCCGUGCUGGACCGUGUACAAGUCUCUUGGAAUAGAGCGUCAUAGAGGGUGAGAAUCCCGUCUCUGACACGGACUACCAGUGCUCUGUGAUGCACUCUCAAAGAGUCGAGU